GGGCUGUGAAUGGGGAGGUGUGACGUAAAAAGGGACCCGAACGCAGGUGCUUAUCUCGAGGCUGUCAAAGGCACAGUAUGUCAUAUUCCUGGGGACUACCUUUCAAAGCCACAGCACCAGCUCAGCUAUCAAGAGACUGGGAGAAAAUCAAACUUUUUGGAUCACAGCACUAGAUAAUGAAUUACAUGAUCACCUCCUGAGAGAUAACAAGUGUGAAAGCAACAACCAGGGGGGACAGUGUGGGUCUGGCAUCUUAUCCUACAGUGCGCACGGAAACCUACAAUCAAAGAUGGAUUCUGAAGGCGAGGAGCAAACCCUGAAAACAUGCAACAGUAGCACAGGGCUGGCCGACUGCAUCGCCGAGACUCACAG
This is a long non-coding RNA of Scatophagus argus, 372 nucleotides long. RefSeq lists it as uncharacterized. The record is from RefSeq and is a predicted model, not a curated record. The transcript has 4 exons. NCBI's taxonomy places the organism in Eukaryota, Metazoa, Chordata, Actinopteri, Scatophagidae.